ACGGGGUGCAGCAGGCGCGAAACCUCUACAAUGCACGAAAGUGUGAUAGGGGGAUUCCACGUGCAAGCUUUGCUUGCUUUUCUCAAGUCUAAACCGCUUGGGGAAUAAGGGCUGGGCAAGACCCGUGCCAGCCGCCGCGGUAACACGGGCAGCUCAAGUGGCGUUCGCGUAUAUUGGGCCUAAAGCGUGCGUAGCCUGUCAGGUAAGUUCUUGGUGAAAGCUUGCGACUUAAUCGUGAGAAUUGCCAGGAAAACUGCCCGACUUGGGACCGGAAGAGGUCGGAGGUAUUUCUUGGGUAGGGGUAAAAUCCUGUAAUCCUUGAAGGACCAUCGGUGGCGAAGGCGUCCGACUGGGACGGGUCCGACGGUGAGGCACGAAAGCUAGGGGAGCGACCCGGAUUAGAUACCCGGUUAGUCCUAGCCGUAAAUGAUGUCUGUUUGGUAUUGCGUGGCUUACGAGGCCCCGCAGUGCCGUAGGGAAGCCGUUAAACAGACCGCCUGGGAGUACGCCGCAAG
This 515-nucleotide ribosomal RNA is filed under the name uncultured archaeon. RNAcentral's name for it is "bacterial SSU rRNA". It matches the Rfam family "Archaeal small subunit ribosomal RNA", at positions 325 to 847 of the family's 1478-position model. The record is from RNAcentral.